RNAcentral lists this microRNA (24 nucleotides) under Ixodes scapularis (black-legged tick). Its description in RNAcentral is "Isc-Mir-87-P1_5p* (star (passenger))". The record is from RNAcentral. Lineage: Eukaryota; Metazoa; Arthropoda; Arachnida; Ixodida; Ixodidae.
GUGCCCGGAACUUUGUCUCAGCCU